GAUUCCCCUAGUAGCGGCGAGCGAAGCGGGAUGAGACCAAGAUGAAAAUCUCCUUUGGAGAGUUGUAGUCUGAGGUGCUUUGAGUAUUCAGUAAACGUAAGUCACAUGGAAUUGUGUACCGGGGAGGGUGAGAGUCCCGUCCAACGUCUACAGGAAUUUCUCGUACGAAGCACUCUCGAUUGAGUCGGGUAGCUUGAGAACGCUGCUCUAAUGGGUGGUAAACUUCAUCCAAGUCUAAAUACUGGUGGGAGACCGAUAGCGAACAAGUACCGUGAGGGAAAGAUGGAAAGCACUUUGAAAAGAGGGUGAAAAGCACCUGAAACCGCUACGGGGGAAGCGUAUUGCAUCAGUGAAAGGUUGCGCAACUGUUCAGCUGUUCUGCAGUGUACUCAGGUGUUGCAACGCGUGGGGAUGGCUGUUUGGUCUGGGAUUUUGUCAGGCCGGAUGGUGAGGGAUCUCUCGUUCUGAGGUGAGGAUCUCCACGAAAUGGUGCAAUUCGACCCGUCUUGAAACACGGACCAAGGAGUUCAGCACUACUGCGAGUCGAAGGGAAUUAAAAACCCAUGGGCGCAGUGAAAGCAAAAAAUUGGAAACUUACCAGGUUAGGGGGGUGUUGCGACAUUGUCAAAGCAUUCCACCCAGAGCAAUAGUGCUGAGACCCGAAAGAUGGUGAACUAUGCCGGAAUAGGGCGAAGCCAGAGGAAACUCUGGUGGAGGCUCGUAGCGAUGCUGACGUGCAAAUCGCUCGUCGAAUUUGGGUAUAGGGGCGAAAGACUAAUCGAACCAUCUAGUAGCUGGUUCCCUCUGAAGUUUCUCUCAGGAUAGCGAGCCGAUGUGUUUGUUGUUUUGUGUGGUAAAGCCAAUGAUUAGCGUAUUUGGGAAAGUAAUUUUUUCGGUCGAUUCUCAAACUUUAAAUGCGCAAGAUGAGAGGUGUUGCGUACUCGAACCCUCUCUGAGAAAACAUCGGCUCUGUGGGCCACUUUUGGUAAGCAGAACUGGCGAUAUGGGAUGAACCAUAAGCUCGGUUAAGGAGUCAAACUCAUCGCUUAUAGACCCCACAAAAGGUGUUGGUUCAUCCAGACAGCAGGACGGUGGCCAUGAAGUCGAAUCCGAUGGAAGUCGGAAUCCGCUAAGGAGUGUGUAACAACUCACCUGCCGAAUGAACUAGCCCUGAAAAUGGAUGACGCUUAAGCGGUGGUCCGACACCGAGCCAUUUUUUGAAAAUGAAAACACGCAGAAAAUGAGUAAGAGGGCGUGGUGGUCCAGUUUUGAAGGCAAAGACGCAAGUCUAGCUUGAACGGCCACUAGUGCAGAUCUUGGUGGUAGUAGCAAAUAUUCAAACGAGAACCUUGAAGGAUGAAGCGAGGAAGGGUUUCAUGCGAACAUUGAUUGGGCAUGAGUGAGUCGUUCCUAAGCCGGGUGGUAAUCGUUCUUCGAUCGGCGAAAGGGAAGCAGGUUAAAAUUCCUGCACACGGAUGUGAAAGUGGUGACACACAUUGAGAUGGAGACGUUAGCGGUGGCGCUGGACAGAGUUUUCUUUUCUGUUUGACUUGUUCGCGCACUCUGUGGAAUCCGAUUAUCGGGAGAUACAGGUGCCAAUGGGCAGAGCGUCGGGGCAUCCCCGGCGUCCAGAACGCCGCCGUUAGCCCUUGAAAAUCUAUCUGCGAUGAUUUCACGCCGUGGCGUACCGAUAACCGCAUCAGGUCCUCAAGGUGAACAGCCUCUAUUCAAUAUGAACAAUGCAGGUAAGGGAAGUCGGCAAAAUAGACCCGUAACUUUGGGAAAAGGGUUGGCUCUAGUGGAGUGGAGGAUUUUUGGUGUUUGAUGAACCGAUAGCGCGAUGUACGGAGGGUUUGGUAGAUGGAAACGUCUCUCGAACUCACACGUGAAGUGCUUUUAGUGAUUUGGGCACCGCCUUCAGCAUACUCCAAACUAGAACUGUAACGGGCAAAGGGAAUCCGACUGUUUAAUUAAAACAAAGCAUUGCGAUGGCCGAGGUCGGUGUAGACGCAAUGUGAUUUUGCAACGGGCCAAGGGAAUCCGACUGUUUAAUUAAAACAAAGCAUUGCGAUGGCCGAGGUCGGUGUAGACGCAAUGUGAUUUCUGCUCAGUGCUCUGAAUGUCAAAGUGAAGAGAUUCAAACAAGCGCGGGUAAACAGCGGGAGUAACUAUGACUCUCUUAAGGUAGCCAAAUGCCUCGUCAUCUAAUUAGUGACGCGCAUGAAUGGAUUAACGAGAUUCCUACUGUCCCUAUCUGCUUCUAGCGAAACCACAGCCGAGGGAACGGGCUCGGCAAAAUCGGCGGGGAAAGAAGACCCUGUUGAGCUUGACUCUAUUCUAAUUUUGUGACGCAAGUUAGGAGGUGUAGCAUAGGUGGGAGACUUCGGUCGACAAUGAAAUACCACUACUCUUAAUCUUGUUUUACUUACGGCGUCAGACUGCACGGUCAAUUUGACCUAUUUUUGCAUCAACAUAGAAUAUUAGGCCUUGGUCUAUCUAUGGAGCAGCGCGCCAGACACAUUUAGGAGGGGAGUUUGGCUGGGGCGGCACAUCUUCUACAAGACAACGAAGGUGUCCAAAGAUAAGCUCAGAGUGAACAGAAAUCACUCGUAGCGCAAAAGGGUAAAAGCUUGUUUGAUUUUGAUAUUCAGUGUGUGUUGAAAACGCGAAAGCGUGGCCUAUCGAUCCUUUUACGAUUCGAGGUUUGAAGCAAGA
Molecule: ribosomal RNA, 2715 nt
Filed under: Neogoniolithon brassica-florida
Lineage: Eukaryota; Rhodophyta; Florideophyceae; Corallinales; Spongitidaceae
Description: partial 28S ribosomal RNA
Rfam family: Eukaryotic large subunit ribosomal RNA
Source: RNAcentral